Molecule: ribosomal RNA, 632 nt
Filed under: Stenotrophomonas sp.
Lineage: Bacteria; Pseudomonadati; Pseudomonadota; Gammaproteobacteria; Lysobacterales; Lysobacteraceae
Description: bacterial SSU rRNA
Rfam family: Bacterial small subunit ribosomal RNA
Source: RNAcentral
ACGGCAGCACAGUAAGAGCUUGCUCUUAUGGGUGGCGAGUGGCGGACGGGUGAGGAAUACAUCGGAAUCUACUUUUUCGUGGGGGAUAACGUAGGGAAACUUACGCUAAUACCGCAUACGACCUACGGGUGAAAGCAGGGGAUCUUCGGACCUUGCGCGAUUGAAUGAGCCGAUGUCGGAUUAGCUAGUUGGCGGGGUAAAGGCCCACCAAGGCGACGAUCCGUAGCUGGUCUGAGAGGAUGAUCAGCCACACUGGAACUGAGACACGGUCCAGACUCCUACGGGAGGCAGCAGUGGGGAAUAUUGGACAAUGGGCGCAAGCCUGAUCCAGCCAUACCGCGUGGGUGAAGAAGGCCUUCGGGUUGUAAAGCCCUUUUGUUGGGAAAGAAAUCCAGCCGGCUAAUACCUGGUUGGGAUGACGGUACCCAAAGAAUAAGCACCGGCUAACUUCGUGCCAGCAGCCGCGGUAAUACGAAGGGUGCAAGCGUUACUCGGAAUUACUGGGCGUAAAGCGUGCGUAGGUGGUUGUUUAAGUCUGUUGUGAAAGCCCUGGGCUCAACCUGGGAACUGCAGUGGAAACUGGACAACUAGAGUGUGGUAGAGGGUAGCGGAAUUCCCGGUGUAGCAGUGAA